Non-coding RNA from Kogia breviceps (pygmy sperm whale), 342 nucleotides. NCBI's taxonomy places the organism in Eukaryota, Metazoa, Chordata, Mammalia, Artiodactyla, Physeteridae. The record is from RefSeq and is a predicted model, not a curated record.
AGCUGCGUUACACAGCGAUGUCCCACCACACCUGCUUCUCACCCGUUUUCAUCCCCUGAUAGCAAGCGUGACUGUCCAGUGGAGAGGGACGGCUCCUAGGCCAUGUGAACAGAAAGCUGUUCACAACUCUGCUUACAGAAGGAGCUCUCUGACCUUUAGAAGAGGCUGGAGAAUCUUCCAGGGGAGAGAGGUUUGAGAAGCUCCAGCUAGAGGAGCAUUUAAGUUUUCCAGUCCCUACCAAGUGGACUGAGGACAACAGCUUUCAGGGAAACAUCCAGGAUUUCUGGAUCCUUCCAUGGAUCUUUAAAUUACAUAUGGGGAGACGUUUGUGUUUGACCAGAG